GUCCACUGCUCAAGGACAUGCCUGCCUGCCUCCCAGGCGAAGGCGGGCCACCCACCACUGGGGGAGAGUGUAGAGGGUGAACAAAGAGGGAUCCAUACCCUUAAGAUGCUCCCAGCUAAUAGAGAAAGCAGACAUACUUCUGUAGCUCUCUGGGCAAGCCUCUUCUUAUUUCUGGCUUCCUGGGCCGUGGGUGUCAAAAGUUUUUAUUUAUUUAAGUAAUCUUUCCACCCAACAUGGGGCCUGAACUCACGACCUCAAGAUCAAGAGUUGCUCACUCUUCCGACUGACUCAACCAGGACAAACCUCAACAACAGUGAUUUUUCUUCCUCUCUUUCUCCCCCUUCUCUUUCUCUCUUUCCUUCUUUGACAGAGGUGACAAAGUAGAAGAGAUGUCUGUCGAUGAAAAGCUGUUUUUAUUCCCAUUUCUCUGCUGUACCAUCUAAGUGAAUUCAGACAUCCCCAAAUGGGCCAAAUACCCAGUUUAAAUAAUGGGCUUUCCCUUAACAAGCAAAGGAGUGAAUGUCUAAACCAGGGAAAUCCCGAAAUCCCUGUGGGGGGACAGAACCUUUAUUACUCAUCCUAGGAGGCUUCCCUUUUGUUGGCUGCCCUGAAGUUUUCCCAUCAUAGGAUAAUGAAUCAUGGUAAGACGUGUAAGAGUGGAGGGGCAUGCCUUUCUUUCACAAAGUGAAGAAAGGCUAUAGGGAACUCCAGCACCUUCUUAGCCCGACCGCUUUAGGAAAGAGCACAUAUGGAAACUGAAAAUCUGAAAGUUGAUUCUUUUAAGACUAUCCACGCUGUACCCCUGAAAGGUCUUCAUGUGCCCCAAAGUUAGGGGGUUCCUGGUAAAUUAGGGGAUCUUCCAGGUUAUUGGAGUAAAGCGGGACUGUGCCGAGGGCAGAUAUUUCUUGUAAAAGAAGAGAACUUCACUUAUUGUCAUGACUUGGCUAUGUGCAGGAGAGCUGGGACAUCUCUCCCAACUCUGAGAACUUUCUUUGGGCUUGUGUGCUGAGAACCACAGAAAGGGCUUUUUGGGGUGCCUGGGUGGCUCAGUUGGUUAAGCAUCUGCCUUCAGCUCAGGUCAUGAUCUCAGUCAGGUCCUAGGAUUGAGUUCUGCUUAAUGGUGGUGGUGGGGAGGAGUCUGUUUCUCUCUCUCCCUCUGCCCGCCCCCCCGCCCCCCCACUGUGCUCUCUCUCGCUCAAAUAAAUAUAUAUAAAAUCUUUUUUUAAAAAGUGCUUUUCUAAGUAGAUCAUAAGCAUUCUGAGUGCAGAUGCCUAUCCUCUUUUUCCCCCAGAGUGCCCAGGAUUGUGCUGGGCAUAUGAUAGACCUGCAUACACACUCACAAAUGGACUUUUCUAUUUCAUGGGAGUGAAAGGCUCAAAGAGACCUCUAGAAUUCUGCAGUUCACUCUCUAGUGCACUUGGUGAAAUGAAAUUCAAAGUCUCAAAGGCGGCUGAGAACCUAUCCAAGUCUUACAAAGCAAGAGAAAGAUUCCAAUAAUAUCACUUGUUGACCCCUUCCAGGAUCUAAGAGCCUGGAGUACCAGAAAUGUUUCCCUAUGUGUCACCUAAGUGUCGGCUUGUUUUCCAACAUGGACUGAGGAUGAUUGGUCCCAUCAUCGGUGACCUUCAUCUUUACCACUAAGUUGUGCCUUCCUCCCACCCUCCCUUCCUCUGGAUGGCAGGUCUGAGUUCUUUUUAUGUCUCAGAGGUGUAGCAUAUUUUUGGAAGGUGUUCUCAUUUACCUUCUCUUAUUCUGAGCUGGAGAGAAUUUCAAUUUCAAAGGAAAAAUAAUCUUAAAAUUACCUUUCUAGCUUUAAUAAGAUCUGUGAUAUUCAUGGAAAAUGCUGUAUAUUUGCUAUUUCCCACUCUCCCCGCCAUCUCAGAGUGCUCACUGUUAACCCUGAUAUCAGAUCUCCCCAUAGUCAUUGCUGCUACUGUUGUGAGCUGGGCACCAGGCAGCCCUGAUAGAGACCACACUCCUCAACUCCCCUUGCAACUGACUGUGGCCCCAAACAUAAAAAUAGCCAUGUUGCCUGGAAGCUUAUGUACAGUUCCAUCAAAGAUAGCAGUGCACAUGCUUUUGGUCUCUUCUUUGCCUUUUGUUCACUGUUCUUUCAGCUUAUCUAUUGCUGUGCACCAAUCCAUUCCAAAAAUUAGUGGCCCAAACCACUACAAUUUAUUAUUUUUUGCCAUUCCAUGAGUUGGGAGGUUUCUUAGCUUAUCUCAUGGGAUGUCCUAGUUGGGCCACAAGAUCUAAGAGGGCCUCAUUGUCAUGUCAGGCAGCUGGGGCUCCUCGCUUCUUCUCCACGAAGAGUCUCAUUCUCCCACAGGCUAGAUGGGCUUUAUCACAACACGGUGUUCUCAGGGCUUCAAGGGGGAGAGAGAGAGGAAACAUCAUGAUUCCGUAAGGUCUAGGCCCUUAUUCAUACACCGUUAGUUCUGCCAACUUUAUUGGGUCAACCUGGAUUCAAGGAUGGAGAAAUAGACUCCUGGUCUUGAUGGAAGGAGAGGCAGUGUCCUUGACAUCACAAAGGUGUGUAGACACAGAAGGGGUGAUUCACUGGAUUAAAAACAAUCCAUCACAAUUGUGGGCUGGGCUAUGGAUAUGAUGUCUAGAAUGCAACCAGCUCUGCUGGACGAGCUAUAGCGACCUUGUGCUGAGAAAUGGAAGCAGUGAGGGAAAGAUCCUGAGUCUCUGCAGCUUUGGGAAGGCUCUCUGUGAGCCAUAGACUGUCUACCUCCAUUGUGGUUUUACGGGAGAGAUCGAUAAGCUCCUUUAUUGUUUGAGCCCCUGUCAUUUUGAACUUUCUGUCACUUGCAGCCAAGUCUUUACAUGCUCUCCAAUGCUCAAUCUGUCUUAAAUUCCCAGUGCUGCUUACCAGCCUAGGUUACCACUACUUAGAGUUUUCUGCAAUUUCAGGGUUGGAGAGGAAGGGGGAAACCUAACACUUUGGAGAUGGCAACAUGAUGUUGUGAUGUAAUUUCCUGUCCCACUUGGCAAGCCUGGGGAAAAUAAAAUGAGGAAGGUGGCCAGGAGGGAUGCUACCACGAGGCAGGAAGAAGUUUGGAAUUGUCACAAGCCUGAAAUGUUGCCUGGUUCCAAGUCGUUCAA
Mirounga angustirostris (Northern elephant seal) is the source of this 3111-nucleotide long non-coding RNA. RefSeq lists it as uncharacterized. The transcript is spliced from 4 exons. The record is from RefSeq and is a predicted model, not a curated record. Lineage: Eukaryota; Metazoa; Chordata; Mammalia; Carnivora; Phocidae.